This 548-nucleotide unclassified non-coding RNA is filed under the name Plectosphaerella plurivora. RNAcentral describes it as "sequence contains 18S rRNA gene, ITS1, 5.8S rRNA gene, ITS2". The stretch from base 182 to 335 matches the Rfam family "5.8S ribosomal RNA". The record is from RNAcentral. Lineage: Eukaryota; Fungi; Ascomycota; Sordariomycetes; Glomerellales; Plectosphaerellaceae.
CGUAACAAGGUCUCCGUUGGUGAACCAGCGGAGGGAUCAUUACUGAGUACUACACUCUCUACCCUUUGUGAACUAUUAUACCUGUUGCUUCGGCGGCGCCCGCAAGGGUGCCCGCCGGUCUCAUCAGAAUCUCUGUUUUCGAACCCGACGAUACUUCUGAGUGUUCUUAGCGAACUGUCAAAACUUUUAACAACGGAUCUCUUGGCUCCAGCAUCGAUGAAGAACGCAGCGAAACGCGAUAUGUAAUGUGAAUUGCAGAAUUCAGUGAAUCAUCGAAUCUUUGAACGCACAUGGCGCCUUCCAGUAUCCUGGGAGGCAUGCCUGUCCGAGCGUCGUUUCAACCCUCGAGCCCCUGUGGCCCGGCGUUGGGGAUCUGCCACGGCAGGCCCCUAAAACCAGUGGCGGACCCGAAGGGCCCUCUCCUUUGCGCAGUAGCAUUCGCCUCGCAUCGGGAGUCCUCGGCGUCCUGCCUCUAAACCCCCCACAAGCCCGCUUCGGCGGCACCAAGGUGACCUCGGAUCAGGUAGGAAUACCCGCUGAACUUAAGC